GAUUGAGCCUUGUUUAUCAGACCACAGGGGUCAGUAUUUAACUUUUAAAAGUCAAAUUCCGUCAAAUAAUACACCUCGCCCAACACGAACUUAUUCAUGUAAAAACAUUGAAAAUUUUAAAAGUGAUUUACUCAAUGUCAACUUGUGCAUUGUUGACACCGAUAUGAACAAUUCUACUUCCAUGGCGAAUUACUUGGUUAGUCAUUUUCAGUCAUUAAUUCCUGUUCACCAAAGAUCAAAUUACACUGUUCACUUUCCUCUACGUGAUAAGUGUAGGGGUGCCAACAAAAAUCCUGUAUACUGGUUUAAACAAGGAACUAAAAUGUAUGCGAAGUAAACUCAGGUCCUUAAAAUCAAUUUGUGAAGUAAAUAAAAACCAUAGUCAGUUAAAGACAUAUAAGAGGGAAUACCGCAGAGCUAUAAUCUCUGCAAAAAACAUUGCAUAUGACAAUUUUCUGAAUAAAUCCAACAACAAAAUCCGAGAUACAUGGAAACUAGUCAACUUUGAACGUAAUAAACAUAGCUCACAGAAGAAUCAAUCUUCAAUCACGUCAGAGGAUUUUUCAACCUUGUAUCUUGAAUAGUAUUUAUCUGAUCUAUACAGUUUUGUCUUAGAUUUUAGAAAAAAAGGGGAUGUGGUUCAUAUUACCAAAGAGGGAGAUAAGUGGGUGUGGCAAAAUUUUAAGAAAAUAUUUAUAUGUAAACAUAUAAAGUACGAUCUUGUAAAUUUGGUUGAAAUUUCAGCUCAUCCCGAAGAUUAGGAAUACAAACCUUGUUAGAAUGCCUGGGGUGACAUUUGCUCACAUUCUGUAGAUUAAUUUGAAAUAUCAAUUACGGUUAGUUUGUCCCGACUGAAAGAAUCUGUCGCACCGUCUGAUUUGGAUAAAAAUGCGGAAACCCUAUUGGAGGAAUAUUAUCCCUUCGCUACCGUUCUACGUUUUAGAGUACUGCAGAUCGUUUGUGGUAUUUCAUUUUUAAUUGUGGGAACGGUCGCUUUCAUUGAAGAGAGGGGA
Long non-coding RNA from Photinus pyralis (common eastern firefly), 1013 nucleotides. RefSeq lists it as uncharacterized. NCBI's taxonomy places the organism in Eukaryota, Metazoa, Arthropoda, Insecta, Coleoptera, Lampyridae. The transcript is spliced from 3 exons. The record is from RefSeq and is a predicted model, not a curated record.